UUGAUUCUUUUGCAGCAAUUAAACCCAUAUUUUGAAAAACAAACAAUUUAUAUUGCUAAAAAUGAAACAUCCAGCAAUCUAUUGUUUUAAGAAAUGGUCAUAGUAAUGAAAAAUAAGCUUUCUUCUAUGAGUUCUUCUACGAAAAUUGUAACAAUGUAACAGAUUAGAGAAAGAAUUGGGCAGCAUUUCUACUGUAUUUUGGACAGAACUUCCUUUGAUCUUUACACAGCAAAACAUCAAAUAUUGACAGCCAAACAAAAAAAUUUUGUAUAGCAUAACACAUCAAAACAACACACACACACACAUGAGCUUGGACACUCAUCCUCUUCCACCUCCUCAUGAUCCUCCUCCGCUUGCUUAUCAUGUUCCAUUGCCUAGCACACCAAAACAACACACACACACACAUGAGCUUGGACACACAUUUAUUUGACUUUUGGAUAGCAAAAACAGCACAUACAUGAGCUUGCACAAAUAUAUAUUUGACUUUUCGAUAGCAAAAACAGCACCUAGGUGAGCUUGCACAAACAUAUAUUUGACAUUUGUAUACCAAAAAGAGCACACACAUGAGCUUGCACGAACAUAUAUUCGACAUUUAGGUACCAAAAACAGCACAUAUGAGCUUGGGCACACAUAAAUUUGACUCUCAAAAAGAAAAACAGCACUUACACGAGCUUGCACAAAUAUAUAUUUUGCACCUACAUACCUGGGAAGAUGUAGCCUCCCUCUCAUAGUAGUUUGCGGAGCCGGAGGCAACAGCGAUUCCGGCACGCACCCCAGCGCCGGUGGGGUCAGGGAAACGUCAUAGCAGAGGUUCCUUUUUUACCCUAUACAACAACUCAGCGAUUGGGAAAUUGCUGGAAUCAUUUGCCGGCUUCCUUGGCAGCCGCAUAGUAGCUACUGCAUUGCCCUUCCCAUUCCCCUUCUGCAUCCCCGAGACCGGCAACUUGCUCUUCAUAAUGGAGCCCAACGUCCUUGUUUCUCCUUCUUCCCACCCGCCUUCCCCUUUUCUUUGUCCAUUGUCUGCAUACAUCAGCAAACAACAAACGGUCAAUCAUCAACAACAGUAAACUAAUUAGACAUGGAGUCUAUGUAAUUUUCCAGCAAGUAGAUUAUUUUUCAAGCUGCUAUGCUACAACAAGUAGAUCAUCAACUAGGUCAUCAACAACAGAAAACUAAUUACACAUGGAAUCAAUGAAAAUUUUGAUCUAUCCAUCCAUUCUGCCCUACAACUCCAUCCAUCCAUGAUCCAUCCAUCCGUCGCCGCUACAUCUACCCGUACAGGCUAUAAUACAUCCAUCCAUCUAGCCCUACGUAGAUGUGGGAGUUCGGCCCUACAUCCAUCCAUCCAUCUACCUGUCUGUAUACAUCUACC
Molecule: long non-coding RNA, 1372 nt
Filed under: Triticum aestivum (bread wheat)
Lineage: Eukaryota; Viridiplantae; Streptophyta; Magnoliopsida; Poales; Poaceae
Description: long non-coding RNA (TAES_LNC021781)
Source: RNAcentral